GGAGCUCCCAGAGGCGGUGGCGGGGGCGCCAGGGGGCGUCCUCCCAGCCCCGGGGACCGGACUGUGCACCUGGUGGCUGCAGGAGCUGCACUGUGGACUCCCCGGCCAGAUGGAAGCUUUCAGGUCCUUCAUUCCAGAGUUGACUGCCCAUCCAGCUCUUGAGCCCUCGGGACCCGUGCUCAGUUUUAUGAACUGAAGGCUUGGCCAGCAGUUGAUUUCUACAGGAUCCAAAGCACAUUGAGAGUUUGAAACACUGGACUGUAUCAUUUACUCCUGAAAUUGUUUCUCCAUCCCUCUGCCAUCAGCAACUGACUCCAUCUUGCAUACAGUUGCCCAUGAUUCAGUUGAGAAAAUGUCUAACUAUGUUCAUCUCAAGCCUCAUGCUUAUUUUUUAAUCCUUGUCAUUUGGUUUUCAAAGCAGUUUGUUAUUGAGGUAGGACUGGGGAGGGGGGUUGCCCAAGAUAUGCACAUUAUAUAUGAGAGUGAGAAAGAAUUUCUAAUUGAAUUCCAUCUACUUUACUCUGUUGAAGGUUAUGAAAAACAAUGAAGUGCUCUCUUUCUAGGAUAAUAACAGGUAUGGUUAAGUUUAUUCCCUUUGUCUCCUGAAUUUACUAGGAUUCUGAAGUAGAAAAAAGUGUAUCUUUUGAUCACUUAUAAACAUUUUUAGGAGUUCCCGUCGUGGUGCAGUGGUUAACGAAUCCGACUAGGAACCAUGAGGUUGCGGGUUCGGUCCCUGCCCUUGCUCAGUGGGUUAACGAUCCGGUGUUGCCAUGAGCUGUGGUGUAGGUCACAGACGCGGCUCGGAUCCUGCGUUGCUGUGCCUCUGGCGUAGGCCGGUGGCUACAGCUCCGAUUCGACCCCUAGCCUGGGAACCUUCAUAUGCCGUGGGAAUGGCCCAAGAAAAUAGCAAAAAAAAAAGACAAAAAAAAAAACAAACAAAAAACAACAUUUUUAAAUUGGUCAGUGAAAGCUAAAUAACACAAAUCAUUAACUUCACCUCCAGAAAGUUCAGACUCAAGUAUUUAAUGUACAAUUGUAAUAUCUCACUCCAGUGUUGCUUAGAUGCAACUCUCCUCCCUCUAUUGUUCCUGGGUUUAUUAAAAUGAAUUUGAGAUAAAUUUGCUAGUUCCUAGAACUAUUCAUGUUUCUAUGUUCUUUUGCAUUCAUUCCUUGUUCAACCAUUUACAAAUUUUCAUAAGGCUUUUAUUUGGAGUUCUGCUUUUCUUAAUUUAGAUAAAUAUUAUAACCUUGACAUAUUUUAUGUCUCAACUAUAUGGUUUAUAUAUAUGUUAGUGGGGGGGAAAUCCCUCCUUUAUGAAAGUAGGAUGUGUAUAAAACAUAGUCAUCCUUAGGUA
Molecule: long non-coding RNA, 1355 nt
Filed under: Sus scrofa (pig)
Lineage: Eukaryota; Metazoa; Chordata; Mammalia; Artiodactyla; Suidae
Description: lncRNA (ENSSSCG00035075632.1)
Source: RNAcentral